Long non-coding RNA from Diorhabda carinulata, 1091 nucleotides. RefSeq lists it as uncharacterized. The record is from RefSeq and is a predicted model, not a curated record. Lineage: Eukaryota; Metazoa; Arthropoda; Insecta; Coleoptera; Chrysomelidae. The transcript is spliced from 3 exons.
UGGCGAGACAGCGAAUUUAUUCACAAACAAACAACAGAAAAGUGAAGAAAUGAAGCAAGUCCAAGAACAGGAAAAAGUCACCGAGUGCUAGAUCUGGAGUACAUAGUGAAUACGGACGGAAUUAGAAACUCAAUUCGUGCAAGUUUGAACUCGAUUUGUGACAUUCGUUGUCAUAUAAACGUUUCAGUUUUGGUGGAAUGCCACAACCACAAUUCCAGCGCACGCUUCUUAUUUUUCCGCAUAAUCCGCGCAUCCAGAAAUCGAUUUCUGGAUACACACAGUCACCGGCGAGAUUUUACAGUUCAACUCUGGUUACUUGAUAAUUAUAUAUAUGUAUAAAUACAUAGUAAAUGUAUCGAAAUAUACUAAAAGUAUUUUCAUGUAAUUUUUUAAUAUUUACGGUAGAUCAAAUAUAUUAGUAGUAGUCAUAUGAUUCAAAUAAAAUGUUUGAAAUUAUUUUCUACGCAGUAUAUUCAUCUACAGAAUGAUUUUAUUAGAUUAAGUCUUUGGGUUAUUCUAACCUACUAGCGGAAUAAUAUUCGCACGACUUCAAGUUAUGCUAUCUGAAACUUCUGUGUGUAUAAUGUGUUGCAUCUACACGAAACUGAUUGCCUACUUCUCACCUUGGAAUGUACUUGAAUAUAAAAUCUAAUACCGUUUUAGUCGUCUUAAUUUUUCGCAAAACCUGUUAUACAUCAAUAAAUUUUAUAUAAUUAGAACAUUAAAUCAAAUUGUAUUCGUUUGUUUUUAAAAAUUUGAAUCUAUUAAGACUUAUUUUUUAUCCAACGCUGGUGCUUCCAUCUGUUGUAGUUGUAUUUAAGUUAUAUCAUAAAACUAUUCUCGGCUACGUAAAUGAUUCAAAUUAAUUUUCUACGAUGAGCCAGCAGUCAUAAAUAAAAGCAAAAGUAAAUAAUUUAGGUUUGUAGGUUUGAGAAUAAAUAUUUUGUUUUACCAUCGUCCAUCAAUAUUAUCUACCUAAAGAUUUUAAACAUUUUAAAAUGGCUAUAGGAUAUAAACAAUAGUGAAUGUUUAUGUUUAAUAUGUAAGUCGUUAAGAUUAUUAUUAUAAAUAAAUAAAAAAAUACAGUAUUA